This 28-nucleotide non-coding RNA is filed under the name Mus musculus (house mouse). The record is from RNAcentral. Lineage: Eukaryota; Metazoa; Chordata; Mammalia; Rodentia; Muridae.
UAUCAGAGCCAUGGAUGGUCUUAAUGGA